GUGGAUUAGGUACCCCAGUAGUCUUAGCUGUAAACGAUGAGCACUUGUUUGAAGGGUCCUCCAUAGCCUUUCAGACGUAGCGAAAGUGUUAAGUGCUCCGCCUGGGGAGUAUGGUCGCAAGGCUGAAACUCAAAGAAAUUGACGGGGGCUCACACAAGCGGUGGAGGAUGUGGCUUAAUUCGAGGCUACGCGAAGAACCUUAUCCUAGUCUUGACAUGUAUGGAUUAACCCUGUGAAAGCAGGGCCACGCCUUCGGGUGGAACAUACACAGGUGCUGCAUGGUUGUCGCCAGCU
Molecule: ribosomal RNA, 294 nt
Filed under: uncultured bacterium
Lineage: Bacteria
Description: partial 16S ribosomal RNA
Rfam family: Bacterial small subunit ribosomal RNA
Source: RNAcentral